Molecule: long non-coding RNA, 1666 nt
Organism: Sapajus apella (tufted capuchin)
Lineage: Eukaryota; Metazoa; Chordata; Mammalia; Primates; Cebidae
Exons: 2
Source: RefSeq, a predicted model, not a curated record
CUCAAUUCAUAUCAGAAUUUCCUGGGAUAGUUUUUUGGGUAUCUCAAUUCAUAUUCACCAGCUGAUUCGGGGCUUGGCUGGAGAUAAAUUAAAAUGCAUCCAUUAAUUUAUUAAAAGUAUUCAUACAUUAAUAUGUGUAUAUGUGUGGCAAACACUAUUUGAUAGCUAUUUGUAGAUAUGACUCUUACAUAUUCAACUUGUGAGGCUAAGAAAUGCACAUAUUAGCAAAGUGUUACAUGAAAGAAACCAUGAGCCCUCCUCUUCUAAGUGUCUUCUCACUAAAAUACUUUUGAAAACAUAGGAAAAGAUGAAAACUCACAACAAAGUUGAAAAUAACAUUAUAGACAUUAUCUAGAUAAAACUAAAAUUACUGAAAGAAGACAGUUUAUUAAAAAACACUCAGCUGGCUGUGAUGGCUCACGCUUGUAAUCCCAACACUUUGGCAGGUGGAGGUGAGAGGAUCACUUGAGCCCAGGAGUUGGAAGCUGCAGUGAGCUAAGACUACACCACUGUAAUCCAGCCGGGAUGACAGAGCAAGACUGUCUUAAAACACACACACACACAAACGCACACAUUUUUAAAGAAAAAAAAUAAGAACACCCAAGCUUUGUUUGACACAUGAAACCUGAAAAACAAAAACAGGAGAUACUACAUAAUUCAUUCAUCUUUUGCCUCUGAAUUCAGAGACAGGAUCUGUAUCAACCAGAAAAUUGGUAUCCUCUUCCUGCCUGUGUUCUUAUAAUACCUAUAAGAAGUAGUACUUAAUAUAAAACAAGUGGGUAGGAAUUGUAUGUGUAUACUUCAGUGGAGAAGGUAGCCAUAAUCAGGGAACACAGGAGCUAUUAAUGUAUGUAUUCAUUGCCUUCAGAUGGGGCAUGAGCAGAUCCAAAAAUUAUUAUUAUUUUUUAGUUUCCUUUAGUAAACAGUGCACAGUUCUGCGAAUUUUCAUUUUUGGACCAAUGAGCAUUACUCACAAGUAAUUACUUACUAGUAAUGUUAUUACUUACUAAUAAGUAAAUUGCUAAAGUCCACUAAAAUUUGUUUCCACAAAUGAAAAUCAGUGUUUUAUUAGCGUUUACUUGGGACUCUACUUCCAAGAUACCUGAUUCCUGUACAAGGUUUGUAAUUUUGCAAGAAUGCAUAAAAGUGUAUCUAUAGAUAUUGUCACACGGAUAGCAAGUCAGACAACUGACAGAAACUCCCAUGGUCAGUACUCAAGCAUUUUCUUAUGAAUGUAUCAUCGUUGUCGGGAGAAGCUUAUGGUUUUCCUGCUAUUUUUGCAUUUCAGAUAUGUAUUAUUUUAGCUUGAUAGCCAUUGAGAUUGCUAUAGAUUAUUUGAUUUGUGUGUAGUGAUGUAUAUAUGCAUAUUUUUCACUGUAUUUUUCUAGUUUUCUAUAACGGUUUUAAAAAAUAUUUUCAGUAGAAAAAUAAUUAUGCUCUCAUUACUAAAAAUAAAUAUGCGUAACUUACCCCUCUAUAUUGCUUAUAACAUUUUGAUGAUGUAGCCAGUGAAUAUGUGCUAAUUUAAAUAACUUGUAUAUAGAAUUAAGCCAACUGCAAUAUUAUAACUAAGUUCUUUUUAACUUAAUAGGAUAUUGUUUUAUAAUAUUUAAUCAUAUGUUCAAGCUCAUUCUCUUUAAAAAAAUAAACAAGCAAUUUCUGUGUA